Long non-coding RNA from Planococcus citri (citrus mealybug), 787 nucleotides. RefSeq lists it as uncharacterized. The record is from RefSeq and is a predicted model, not a curated record. NCBI's taxonomy places the organism in Eukaryota, Metazoa, Arthropoda, Insecta, Hemiptera, Pseudococcidae. The transcript has 2 exons.
CUAACACACAAACACGAAAAAAAACAACAACUGCUAUCAAAGUUCCUGUAAGUUUUUUUCUCCGUUUUUAUUGUCUGCUGUAGUUUGCUGAUAUGCCAUAGUUUAGUAAUGAAAGAUAAUUUGAACAAUAUCUUCAUAUUGUUGUACUGCUAGAUUCCAGAUUUCCAGACGAUUCACCAAAAUCCUAGUAUUUCUAGUUGAAGGAAUGGGUAUUGUCCUUUAACCAACUCAAUAUUCUGAAUUAGUGUUACUUUGGCUUCUUGCUUCAUUAUGAAAAUAAUAAUGUGAAAUUGUGAUUGUGAAAGAAUAAUUUUUUCGAUGAAAUGCAUUCUAUUUAAAACAAAACAAUGGAAUAUAGAAUGAUGUAUCCGAAUGAAUGGAGUCGUUUGAAAACAUUUCCUAUUGAAUGGUGCACCAAAUCAUUUAGAACUGUAGAAGAGAUGGCAGAAGCGGGAUUCUAUUUCUCUAGAACAACGAAACAAAUCAUGUGUUCAAACUGUGGAUUACCAGUUGUGGAGCUAGAUAGUGAUUGUAAUGUGGCCAAAAACUAUCUUAAAUCAAAAUGCAAACGAGAACCAUUGCUACAAAAAUUGAUCCAGAAGAUGGAAGAAAACGGUUUUAGUUUUACAGAUGUUGCCAGAUGUGAAGAUCUUAUAUGGGAUGCCAAGGAAAGAAAAUCAUGGGGAGUAGAACAAACUCAACAAAGCACUGAAGACAGUGAAGACUAUGAUGAUUUAUAAAAUAAUUAUGUAUUAUUAAUAAGGUAAUAAAAUGAUUUCGUUUUCAA